This 377-nucleotide ribosomal RNA is filed under the name uncultured bacterium. Its description in RNAcentral is "bacterial SSU rRNA". It matches the Rfam family "Bacterial small subunit ribosomal RNA", at positions 521 to 896 of the family's 1533-position model. The record is from RNAcentral.
UAAUACGUAGGGGGCGAGCGUUGUCCGGAUUUACUGGGCGUAAAGCGCGUGUAGGCGGUACUCUAAGUCCGGGGUGAAAUCCGGGGGCUUAACCCCCGAACGGCGCCGGAAACUGGAGCGCUUGAGUGUCGGAGAGGGGAGUGGAAUUCUCGGUGUAGCGGUGAAAUGCGUAGAGAUCGAGAGGAACACCCGUGGCGAAGGCGGCUCCCUGGCCGAACACUGACGCUGAGACGCGAAAGCGUGGGGAGCGAACGGGAUUAGAUACCCCGGUAGUCCACGCCGUAAACGAUGGUCACUAGGUGUGCGCGGUAUCGACCCCGCGUGUGCCGCAGCUAACGCAGUAAGUGACCCGCCUGGGGAGUACGGCCGCAAGGUUG